UUCCAUUAGCAUUUAUAUGCA
This 21-nucleotide non-coding RNA is filed under the name Caenorhabditis elegans. The record is from RNAcentral. Lineage: Eukaryota; Metazoa; Nematoda; Chromadorea; Rhabditida; Rhabditidae.